RNAcentral lists this ribosomal RNA (263 nucleotides) under uncultured archaeon. RNAcentral describes it as "partial 16S ribosomal RNA". It matches the Rfam family "Archaeal small subunit ribosomal RNA", at positions 714 to 982 of the family's 1478-position model. The record is from RNAcentral.
AGGUCACUGACAUUAGAUACCCGCGUAGUCCAGGGUGUAAACGCUGCAGACUUGGUGUUGGAGGCCCUUUGGGGCAUUCAGUGCCGGAGAGAAGUUGUUAAGUCUGCUACUUGGGAGUACGUCCGCAAGGAUGAAACUUAAAGGAAUUGGCGGGGGAGCACCGCAACGGGAGGAGCGUGCGGUUUAAUUGGAUUCAACACCGUAAACUCACCAGGGAAGACUGUUACAUGAAGGCCGAGAUGAAGACUCUGCUAGAUUUUCAG